UAAAGCAGGCAAAAGUUUUAUUGGGGAAGUAAAAGGACACUCCAAAAGAGGAGUGGGCUGACCCUGCUGGAAACAGCCCCGGGAUAUUCUGCAUUUGAUAUGCUGUGGUCUUGCUUUUUUCCUUGCCCACUUCUCACCAAGGCUUGGGGAAUCAUCCCUUACUGUGGUUAAUGGACGUGCACUGGACGCUGUGAUCAAUACAAAUCCCACCCAAUGGGAACAUUGCUCAUUACUGCCACCCGGGAAGGGCAUAUAGCCAUCAAAUUUGUACUCAUUGCACCUGUGUGGCUCUCAAGAAUUCUGCUUUUGCCUUUUUUCUCCCUUAUCAGGAUCUAGUUAACCACACUUUGACAGUUCCACCACAGAGUGAGUACUGGGCAUCUUAAGAGGUGUUCUGGGCUGUUCCUUCCAACAUGGGUACUUCCCCUCCUGCCUGCUAAUGUCUGACUAACUGCCUCCUCUUACAUUUAUCUCUUAAGGAGUUGGGACCCAGAAAUCUUUUGGGAAAUAGGGCGGAGGUCAUUCUUCUGUAACUACUUCCUGCUGCAAAGGGGCGUCGAGGGUCUUCUGGUCCCUCCUCCUUGCUUGCUGUCAUGGCAAGAAGCUUUCAGAGGUUGUUGUUGUCUCUCAAAAGGUUUGACCCACAGUGUCCAGAGGAGACAUGCAGAAACUUGCUUGUCCUCAAGGUUAGGAAAGAGGUUGAUAUCCUUGUCACAAGACUAUUUGAAGUCUGACGGCUUCUAGAUGGGACGAAAUAAACUUAGUUAGUAGAUUCAAGAAGCAAGGCCCAGAAAAGAGAAGAAGGAAGAUAGAGGUCAGGGGUCCCAGGAAGGGGAGGGGCCAUGAGAAUCAGAACCAGGUGACACCCCUCAGCAGCCCCUUCCCAAAGAUGAGAAGCCUAGUUUAUGAGAUCUCAAAUGUGCUCCUGAGCCUGCCCUGAUCUCUUAACCCAGAUCAGUACUCUUCUCCAAGCACAGUCAAGUUCCUCCCUGAGCUGCAACCAGCAUGUCAAGACCUCUACCACGUUUGAGAACUACAGCUGCGAGAGAACUGACUUGUCACUGUAACUCUUUUAUAGCAAGCAGUCAUUUCUAUCUCUUGAACCAAUUCCAGAGACAGGCUGUGGUAGGUUCAGGAGUAAGUGCCAAUGCUGGCUAUUCCUAUUGUGGCACCUGUGGUAAUGCCAAGCCCAACAAGAAAGGGAACUAAUUGAAUUGCUUGGUGGGCCCCAGUAAUAAGAGCAAGGGCCGAGAAGCAUCACCUGGGGCAAUGAGAUGCUAGGGUUUAGGUAAGCCAGCAUGGGUGUUCUGGUCCACUUUGCAGAGAAGCAUAGGUGGGCCUGUGUCCCACACAGAAAGCAAAGUUCUGUCAUAGGCAGACAAGAAUGGAUAUGGAAGGAGGCAAAGUCAAUUCCAAACAUUACCAAUAUCCUCAUUGG
Molecule: long non-coding RNA, 1438 nt
Filed under: Macaca fascicularis (crab-eating macaque)
Lineage: Eukaryota; Metazoa; Chordata; Mammalia; Primates; Cercopithecidae
Description: lncRNA (ENSMFAG00000064572.1)
Source: RNAcentral